GCCGGGUUAGCUCAGCUGGUAGAGCAGCGGUUUUGUAAACCGAAGGUCACGGGUUCGAUCCCUGUACUCGGCACCA
This 76-nucleotide transfer RNA is filed under the name Sphingomonas kyeonggiensis. RNAcentral describes it as "tRNA-Thr". It matches the Rfam family "tRNA". From Rfam's summary of the family: Transfer RNA (tRNA) molecules are approximately 80 nucleotides in length. Their secondary structure includes four short double-helical elements and three loops (D, anti-codon, and T loops). The record is from RNAcentral. Lineage: Bacteria; Pseudomonadati; Pseudomonadota; Alphaproteobacteria; Sphingomonadales; Sphingomonadaceae. RNAcentral also lists the same sequence under 4 other names.